This 440-nucleotide ribosomal RNA is filed under the name uncultured bacterium. RNAcentral's name for it is "partial 16S ribosomal RNA". It matches the Rfam family "Bacterial small subunit ribosomal RNA", at positions 338 to 795 of the family's 1533-position model. The record is from RNAcentral.
CCUACGGGAGGCAGCAGUGGGGGAUAUUGCACAAUGGGGGAAACCCUGAUGCAGCGACGCCGCGUGAGUGAAGAAGUAUUUCGGUAUGUAAAGCUCUAUCAGCAGGGAAGAAAAUGACGGUACCUGAUGAAGAAGCCCCGGCUAACUCCGUGCCAGCAGCCGCGGUAAUACGGAGGGGGCAAGCGUUAUCCGGAUUUACUGGGUGUAAAGGGAGCGUAGACGGCAGCACAAGUCUGGAGUGAAAUGCCGGGGCUUAACCCCGGAACUGCUUUGGAAACUGUGCAGCUAGAGUGCAGGCGAGGUAAGUGGAAUUCCUAGUGUAGCGGUGAAAUGCGUAGAUAUUAGGAGGAACACCAGUGGCGAAGGCGGCUUACUGGACUGUAACUGACGUUGAGGCUCGAAAGCGUGGGGAGCAAACAGGAUUAGAUACCCCUGUAGUC